GUCACACCUGACUGCCUUUAGUGCUGACUCCCAGUAAUCUCUAGCAUGUGGCACUGUCACAGCAGCGCAAGGAGUGUAAGUGGCAGAGCAUUCUCAUCAGCCUCUUUUGAUGAGAAUAUUGGUAUUGGCGCCGCAUGAAUGCUUCUGGCUGACCAGCUGAGGGGCCCUGCCCCGCUGAGCUGGAGCAACAUCUUAUAAGAAACGCAGUGAUUUUAUUGCCAGUGAGGCAGUCUGGUUGCUGCACUGAUUUGUAGUAUAGCUAUGGCUUUAUGCUUUUCUGGCAAAACUUAGCUAAGGGUAAGUAUGAGGUGUCCAGGACAGGUUUUCACUCAGUGCUUUCAGCGGUAGAGAGCUGGGGAAAGUUGAUGUGUGGUGUAUGUGAAGCUUGCCAAUAGCUCGGUGUGCCUAAGGUCUCAUCUAUGCUUGAAUUAAACUAGCGUGGACAGGGAAAUUAAUUUUAGUCUCUUGUUAGGGAUAUAUUUGUUUUGAGAUAAGCCUCGUGCCCCUCAGGGGCCUUUGCCAGCAUAGAGGUACUGUGGACCAGCAAACUGGAUGUUUGGGAUGUUUUCCAGGUUGGCACACCCUGUGAGACUCUGAAUUAUUUUUCCUUGGCAGUUUGGGGCAAAUGAGUGAGAAUUACCUUGUGAUUGCUGAACUUUUACCACCUCGUGCUUUGGACUGAAGAGUUACUAGAACUAAAUCUAUGAGGUUUCCAAGCUAAACAAAACCUGAAUUUCUGGUGCCAAAAAGCAAGCCAGCAAUAGAAACCUCUGAAACCUCUGCUUCUCCUCCAGAAGGGGGGAAACCACAGUCUUUCAAGCUUUCCUGUUAUCCUCAAGAGUUAAAAAGGCAUAAACCUGCGUCAUGAAACCUGCCGAGCUAGCGGUCGGAUGAAACGAGAGCCAAAGCUAGCCGAGAAACUGUUCUCGUGUGCCGUAUUGCUGGAGAGGUUUUUCAGUCAGGAAGACUGAAAUCCUCUCUGGCUGGCUGGUGAAAUGCAGUACUGUUUUUUGGGAAAAACCCACACGAGGGUGCCAGACUGUGCCCUUGUUUGUCCUGAAGGCCAAGGGGCAGCGGGUGGUGGAGAGCCAGUGAAGUCUUCUGUUCUUCGGCUGUUUGCCCCUCUGGGGAGAGCAGCAAGUGAGAACUUGUGUCUCAACCCUUGA
This 1166-nucleotide long non-coding RNA is filed under the name Struthio camelus australis. RNAcentral's name for it is "lncRNA (ENSSCUG00000005483.1)". The record is from RNAcentral. Lineage: Eukaryota; Metazoa; Chordata; Aves; Struthioniformes; Struthionidae.